UCAGCCAACAAACCAAGAAAGGCAUGCAUAAAAAAUGUGGACAUGCAAGUUCAUGAACAUCCAUCUUCAUUCUCCUGGGAUCAGUAAAUUCACAUGAGGGCCUUUUAUUCUGAAGAAAACCUCCGUGUGGAAGAUGGCUAAUCUUUCUUACAGUGAAGAUUGAAAGCCUUCUGGUUCUCCCAGUCACGACCUAAAUGACACUUCUUCCAGGAAGCCUUCGCUGGCCUGGAUGAAUGGGGAGGUAGAGCUCCCUGUGUGAUGGGCAGCAAAGGACCCAGCUGUUUGACAGUCUCACCCAAGGAGGAACGCAGUACGGAGUCCCCGUCUUCAGGCAGAGCCAACAGUGGAGACGAGCACAUGCUGUCCCGCUGUGCUCACAGCUCCAUGAGCAAUAGCAGGCUCCCAAC
This is a long non-coding RNA of Pan paniscus (pygmy chimpanzee), 407 nucleotides long. The record is from Ensembl. Lineage: Eukaryota; Metazoa; Chordata; Mammalia; Primates; Hominidae.